RNAcentral lists this non-coding RNA (30 nucleotides) under Mus musculus (house mouse). The record is from RNAcentral. Lineage: Eukaryota; Metazoa; Chordata; Mammalia; Rodentia; Muridae.
UAGCAGCUGCAGUAAAUGUAUGUCACCAUA